Non-coding RNA from Amylocarpus encephaloides, 108 nucleotides. NCBI's taxonomy places the organism in Eukaryota, Fungi, Ascomycota, Leotiomycetes, Helotiales. The record is from the annotation of a GenBank genome assembly.
GGGGGAUUGGUGUAGUGGUAGCAUGACUGAUUCCAGUACGCAGAAUUCUAUUCGUAGUCUUCUAUUGGAAGUUCCAGUUGGUCAUCGGUUCAACUCCGGUAUCCCUCA